Molecule: RNA transcript, 1202 nt
Organism: Tupaia belangeri chinensis (Chinese tree shrew)
Lineage: Eukaryota; Metazoa; Chordata; Mammalia; Scandentia; Tupaiidae
Gene: NSMCE1
Gene name: NSE1 component of SMC5/6 complex
Exons: 8
Source: RefSeq, a predicted model, not a curated record
AUGCAGGGCAGUGCGAGAAGGAUGGGCGUUAUGACUGAUGUCCAUCGGCGAUUCCUGCAAUUACUGAUGACUCAUGGUGUGCUGGAGGAGUGGGAAGUUCAGCGCUUGCAGAAACACUGCUACAAGGUCCAUGACCGCAAUGCUACUGUGGAGAAUUUGGAGGAUUUCAUCAACAACAUUAACAGUGUCUUGGAGUCCUUGUACAUUGAGAUAAAGAAAGGAGUCACCGAAGAUGAUGGGAGGCCCAUUUACGCUCUGGUGAACCUGGCUACAACUUCAGUUUCUAAAAUGGCCACAGAUUUUGCUGAGAACGAGCUGGACCUGUUCCGAAAGGCUUUGGAGUUGAUUAUUGACUCAGAGACUGGCUUCGCUUCUUCCACAAACAUUUUGAACAUGGUCGAUCAACUUAAGGGCAAGAAGAUGAGGAAGAAGGAAGCCGAGCAGGUGCUACAGAAGUUCGUACAAAGCAAAUGGCUGAUUGAGAAGGAAGGGGAGUUCACCCUGCAUGGCCGGGCCAUCCUGGAGAUGGAGCAGUAUAUCCGGGAGACUUACCCUGAUGCUGUGAAGAUCUGUGACAUCUGCCAUAGCCUCCUCAUCCAGGGUCAAAGCUGCGAAACCUGUGGGAUCAGGAUGCACUUACCCUGCGUGGCCAAGUACUUCCGGUCGAAUUCCGAGCCACGCUGCCCGCACUGUAAUGACUACUGGCCCCACGAGAUCCCAGCCACCGACUUCCGAGUCCACAUUCCUCUGAAGCUGGAGCCAGCCUUCCAGCUGCUUGAGGCAGCCGAAUCUUGAUACCAUGUCCUGACGGAUGUUGCCUCCAGCACCCAACUUGAGAACCACACUCCAUCAUGAUGACCGACUUCUCUUCAGCAGCAGCUCAGGCAGAAGUGGGGCCUGCCAGCUGGAACAGGUAGUGCCAGGAUGGCCAUCCCUGUAGGCACAUCUGUGACUACUCUUCUGCUAUUUCCUUGGAUGGGUGUCUAUUAAUAAGAUCAUCAGACCCAGAGGCAUGCAUGAAGUGUUCAAGGUUCUUGGUUUGCUGACCUUCUGCCAAGCUGAAGUCCUGCCAGCAGGAUCCUGAGUGCGAGAGCUGGAAACACCUUGGCUAAUUUAGCAGGAAUCUGUCUUACUUUGCAUAUCUUUGAGUAUUAGUGAACUGUAAUUUGUUUUUUGGUUUAUUAAAAAGCUUUUCAAUGUUC